CUACGGAGGGGGCUAGCGUUGUUCGGAAUUACUGGGCGUAAAGCGUACGCAGGCGGAUAUUUAAGUUAGAGGUGAAAUCCCAGGGCUCAACCCUGGAACUGCCUUUAAAACUGGGUAUCUAGAGUUAUGGAGAGGUAAGUGGAAUUCCUAGUGUAGAGGUGAAAUUCGUAGAUAUUAGGAGGAACACCAGAGGCGAAGGCGGCUUACUGGACAUAUACUGACGCUGAGGUACGAAAGUGUGGGGAGCAAACGGGAUUAGAAACCCUAGUAGUCC
Molecule: ribosomal RNA, 274 nt
Filed under: uncultured bacterium
Lineage: Bacteria
Description: partial 16S ribosomal RNA
Rfam family: Bacterial small subunit ribosomal RNA
Source: RNAcentral